ACUUAAAUUGAAGAGUUUGAUCAUGGCUCAGAUUGAACGCUGGCGGCAGGCCUAACACAUGCAAGUCGAGCGGUAGCACAGAGAGCUUGCUCUCGGGUGACGAGCGGCGGACG
RNAcentral lists this ribosomal RNA (113 nucleotides) under Klebsiella pneumoniae. RNAcentral describes it as "partial 16S ribosomal RNA". It matches the Rfam family "Bacterial small subunit ribosomal RNA", at positions 1 to 104 of the family's 1533-position model. Lineage: Bacteria; Pseudomonadati; Pseudomonadota; Gammaproteobacteria; Enterobacterales; Enterobacteriaceae. The record is from RNAcentral.